This 274-nucleotide ribosomal RNA is filed under the name uncultured bacterium. RNAcentral's name for it is "partial 16S ribosomal RNA". It matches the Rfam family "Bacterial small subunit ribosomal RNA", at positions 523 to 796 of the family's 1533-position model. The record is from RNAcentral.
AUACGGAGGGUGCAAGCGUUGUUCGGAAUUACUGGGCGUAAAGCGCGCGUAGGCGGUCUGUUAUGUCAGAUGUGAAAGUCCUCGGCUCAACCGGGGAAGUGCAUUUGAAACUGGCAGACUUGAGUACUGGAGGGGGUGGUGGAAUUCCCGGUGUAGAGGUGAAAUUCGUAGAUAUCGGGAGGAAUACCGGUGGCGAAGGCGACCACCUGGCCAGAUACUGACGCUGAGGUGCGAAAGCGUGGGGAGCAAACAGGAUUAGAUACCCGGGUAGUCC